AGUGAGGCUUUUCCCUAACAACACUGAGUCUUGGGUUUUAGUUACUUGUGGUUCUGGUUUUAAUAGACUUAGCUGCUGUGGGAUGCCUAAGAAGCUUAAAUUUUGGGUGCCUUAGGAUCACCAGGAAGAAAAACAAACAAACCAAUAAAGAUUUGGAUAACAAGAGAGAAGUUGAUUGAAAACUGUCAACUCCCUGAAAGUUUUAAACCAGGCAUGAAGCCUCCUGUGUCCCUCAUUCAUCAUGUUUCUGAAGACAGUUGACCUGUUGACUUAAAGACAUCAUUUAAGAGAGUCAGCCAGAACUAAUGACAGUGUGAAGACCUGCUAACCAUGUUCUCAAAAGUAAGUGAGCUGUUCCUAAACCUAUUGGGUCUAGAAGUGGUCUCAGUUUAUGGGCAGCUGACGAUGUCUCACUAUGAAGAACUUGUCCUGAUGGUGUGCAGCUGCUGAAGAUGUAUAGCAGGGAUCUUCCAUGGGAGGUCCAAGAAGGCUGAUAUCUUCCAGGCUUGCCUAUAGGUAUAUGUGGCUCACAUGCCAAGAUGGGAACAAGUAAGUCUGAGCUUGGAGAACGUUUGAUACUGCUAAGCAGAGAAGAACCAGGGACUGUGCUCCUUCUACUUAUAAAGGAAUAAAAUUAACUGUAAAGCAUCCUUGGGCAG
This is a long non-coding RNA of Homo sapiens (human), 659 nucleotides long. RefSeq lists it as uncharacterized. The transcript has 3 exons. Lineage: Eukaryota; Metazoa; Chordata; Mammalia; Primates; Hominidae. The record is from RefSeq and is a predicted model, not a curated record.